RNAcentral lists this transfer RNA (72 nucleotides) under Dipodomys ordii (Ord's kangaroo rat). It matches the Rfam family "tRNA". Rfam says of the family: Transfer RNA (tRNA) molecules are approximately 80 nucleotides in length. Their secondary structure includes four short double-helical elements and three loops (D, anti-codon, and T loops). Further hydrogen bonds mediate the characteristic L-shaped molecular structure. tRNAs have two regions of fundamental functional importance: the anti-codon, which is responsible for specific mRNA codon recognition, and the 3' end, to which the tRNAs corresponding amino acid is attached (by aminoacyl-tRNA synthetases). tRNAs cope with the degeneracy of the genetic code in two manners: having more than one tRNA (with a specific anti-codon) for a particular amino acid; and 'wobble' base-pairing, i.e. permitting non-standard base-pairing at the 3rd anti-codon position. Lineage: Eukaryota; Metazoa; Chordata; Mammalia; Rodentia; Heteromyidae. The record is from Rfam by way of RNAcentral.
GGGAAGGAAGCUCUGUGGUAGAGCGCUUGCCUUACAUGCAUGAGGCCCUGGGUUCAAUUCCUCAGCACCCCA